This is a long non-coding RNA of Hemiscyllium ocellatum (epaulette shark), 790 nucleotides long. RefSeq lists it as uncharacterized. Lineage: Eukaryota; Metazoa; Chordata; Chondrichthyes; Orectolobiformes; Hemiscylliidae. The record is from RefSeq and is a predicted model, not a curated record. The transcript is spliced from 4 exons.
CAGCUUGGGAACGUUGCCUGUGUGUUUCUCAUGAAGUUCUAUUUACCACGGGGUUUGUUUUAGAGAAUGGAUUUUAUUCAGAAGGUGGCUCAUCUGUUUGUUUCCCAGGAGUGUCCUCCUCAACAGCAGAAUGAAUAAGACACCUGAAAAUUGUUUAAGUGGAGAAAGACUGCGGAAAGCUACAGAAGGAAAAGACAGCUCACAAUAAGGCAGAAACGGGUGAAGAUAUGCCUGACAUUCAGCCUCUACAAGAAUGAAGCCUGAAAGAAAGAAAGAUCAACUAGGAGAAAGUCUGAAGCUCUUCCGUUUCUCAAAGCCAGCUUCCUGGAUGAAGGCAGCAAACCACAUGGUGCCCACGACCCAUCCAACCACCCAGGAAGAAGGCCAGGCCAGCCGGAGGCAGCCUAAGCAAGCCCCAGGCUUAGGGCCUGCUGGAAAAUUGGAGGGACCUGAGAGACCUGCCCCAUGAAGCAGAACCAAAAUGAAAUGCUCCCAGCCCCAUAAGACACCUGCCUGACAUGAGGUCCAUCCCACCCUGGCAAUGUUUUUCUACAACCUCUACCACUGGGGAGAAGGUACUGAUGCCUGAACACAUGCACCAAUUGGUUUUAGUAACCGUUUCUACCCUACUGUUGUUAGAAUGCUGAGUGGACUCACAAACUCUUAACAUUAGCCUGUACCUGUGUUUUUGUUUUUGCCUCUGUUCACCUUUUAUUUACUAUCUAUGCUACUUAACUCUGUUAUCUGCCUGUAUUGAUCGCAAGACAAAGCUUUCCACUGUGCCUCAGUA